RNAcentral lists this small nucleolar RNA (132 nucleotides) under Microcebus murinus (gray mouse lemur). RNAcentral's name for it is "Small nucleolar RNA SNORD22". It matches the Rfam family "Small nucleolar RNA SNORD22". Rfam says of the family: U22 is a member of the C/D class of snoRNA which contain the C (UGAUGA) and D (CUGA) box motifs. Lineage: Eukaryota; Metazoa; Chordata; Mammalia; Primates; Cheirogaleidae. The record is from Rfam by way of RNAcentral.
UCCCGAUGAAGAAAACAUUCACACGUCUUACUUCCUGUCCCAGUCCCAGAGCCUGUAAAGGUGAACCCCACUGAGACUGGCUGGGAAGAGAAGAGGAAAGUUUGUUCCCAGAAGGAAACUGUCUUGAGGGAC